AUCCUUAUGGAAAUAGACAGUACACGGAUCUGGAAUGGAAGCAAAUAAUAACCGGGUCUCCAGAUUCCAUCGUAUCACAGAACAUAGAACCAAGAAAGUACCUUAGAAGUCAUCUGAUCCAGUCACCCCUGUUUUACCAAUGAGGAAUCUAGACCCAGAAGAAGUUAAAGGACUUACCCAAGAGUACCCAACAACUCUCUCACCACCCCAGGCUCCCAUCUUUGUGUCUCUCCUGUGUGAGCUGUUCCCUGAAGUUCUUCCUGAACUUGCACAUUGCCUUUCCCUUUGAUUUUAAAUCCUUGGCUCAAAUGACAUGCCCGGACUAUAUCGUGUGAUAUGAGCUUGAAAAGUAAUUUACGUACAAGUCUUGAAAGCAAAUCAAGUUUUAAAACAAAGUAGCAUCUACUCUGCCCCAGCCUUGACAUCUUAUUACAUAGCAAAUGCUGGCUUUUUAAUUUCCCUAAUCAAGACUGGUCCUAUUUAGCCCACCUCCUCAAGGGGUCCCAGCACUAGCCCCACUCCGACGCCUGAUGAAGUUCCAGAACAGUGGAAUCAAGCACAGAGAUGGGCACGCCUCUUUACAGAACCAAAGAUUCAGAACUGUGCCUUACCCUUUGCUUAUGAGGCGGAGGAGGAGGAAGAGAAAGAACCACCGCAAAGAGAGAUGGCAACAAAGGACAAAAUGCUUGGAGGAGCAACAGACACCCUGAGACCAUGAAGACAGGACGAAGUCACACACUAAGAUCUGAGGCCCAGGGUCACCACAAACCCGGGAGACAUGAGGCCAGGCCUGAGAGGCACAGGCAGGCUGAGGAAUGGACAGAAGAGCAACAGAGAAGCCUGGAGGAUGAAAGCCAACUCUGCAAAGAGCUUCCAAGAGUCUUC
RNAcentral lists this long non-coding RNA (885 nucleotides) under Homo sapiens (human). Its description in RNAcentral is "non-protein coding LINC01913:9". The record is from RNAcentral. Lineage: Eukaryota; Metazoa; Chordata; Mammalia; Primates; Hominidae.